RNAcentral lists this ribosomal RNA (229 nucleotides) under uncultured bacterium. Its description in RNAcentral is "partial 16S ribosomal RNA". It matches the Rfam family "Bacterial small subunit ribosomal RNA", at positions 104 to 334 of the family's 1533-position model. The record is from RNAcentral.
CGGGGUGAGUAAUGUCUGGGAAACUGCCUGAUGGAGGGGGGUAACUACUGGAAACGGUAGCUAAUACCGCAUAACGUCGCAAGACCAAAGAGGGGGACCUUAGGGCCUCUUGCCAUCGGAUGUGCCCAGAUGGGAUUAGCUAGUAGGUGGGGUAAUGGCUCACCUAGGCGACGAUCCCUAGCUGGUCUGAGAGGAUGACCAGCCACACUGGAACUGAGACACGGUCCAG